GAUGAACGCUAGCUACAGGCUUAACACAUGCAAGUCGAGGGGCAGCAUGGUCUUAGCUUGCUAAGGCCGAUGGCGACCGGCGCACGGGUGAGUAACACGUAUCCAACCUGCCGUCUACUCAUGGACAGCCUUCUGAAAGGGAGAUUAAUACAAGAUGUUAUCAUGAGUAAGCAUUUUCGCAUGAUUAAAGGUAUUCCGGUAGACGAUGGGGAUGCGUUCCAUUAGAUAGUAGGCGGGGUAACGGCCCACCUAGUCUUCGAUGGAUAGGGGUUCUGAGAGGAAGGUCCCCCACAUUGGAACUGAGACACGGUCCAA
Molecule: ribosomal RNA, 315 nt
Filed under: uncultured bacterium
Lineage: Bacteria
Description: bacterial SSU rRNA
Rfam family: Bacterial small subunit ribosomal RNA
Source: RNAcentral